This 73-nucleotide transfer RNA is filed under the name Merluccius polli (Benguela hake). It matches the Rfam family "tRNA". From Rfam's summary of the family: Transfer RNA (tRNA) molecules are approximately 80 nucleotides in length. Their secondary structure includes four short double-helical elements and three loops (D, anti-codon, and T loops). Further hydrogen bonds mediate the characteristic L-shaped molecular structure. tRNAs have two regions of fundamental functional importance: the anti-codon, which is responsible for specific mRNA codon recognition, and the 3' end, to which the tRNAs corresponding amino acid is attached (by aminoacyl-tRNA synthetases). tRNAs cope with the degeneracy of the genetic code in two manners: having more than one tRNA (with a specific anti-codon) for a particular amino acid; and 'wobble' base-pairing, i.e. permitting non-standard base-pairing at the 3rd anti-codon position. Lineage: Eukaryota; Metazoa; Chordata; Actinopteri; Gadiformes; Merlucciidae. The record is from Rfam by way of RNAcentral.
GUUUCUGUAGUGUAGUGGUUAUCACGUUUGCUUUACACGCGAAAGGUCCCUGGUUCGAAACCGGGCAGAAGCA